RNAcentral lists this ribosomal RNA (515 nucleotides) under Labidopullus sp. JP-2017. RNAcentral describes it as "partial 16S ribosomal RNA". It matches the Rfam family "Bacterial large subunit ribosomal RNA", at positions 1819 to 2600 of the family's 2925-position model. The record is from RNAcentral. Lineage: Eukaryota; Metazoa; Arthropoda; Insecta; Coleoptera; Staphylinidae.
GUCUUUUUGAAAUAAUUUAAAGUCUGACCUGCCCAAUGAAAUAUUAAAUGGCCGCAGUAUAUUAACUGUGCAAAGGUAGCAAAAUCAUUAGUUUUUUAAUUAGAAACUGGAAUGAAGGGUUUUACGAAAAAAUUUCUGUCUCAGUUUUAUUGUUUUAGAAUUUUAUUUUUAAGUUAAAAAGCUUAAAUAUAUUUAAAAGACGAGAAGACCCUAUAGAGUUUUAUAUAAUAACUUAAAAUUUAAAUUAAUUAGAAAUAUAAGAUAAAUUUUAUUUAAUUAUAUUUUAUUGGGGUGAUAAAAUAAUUUAAUAAACUUAUUUUUUUAAAAAAACAUUGAUUUAUGAAUAAUUGAUCCAUAAAAAUGAUUAUAAGAUUAAAUUACCUUAGGGAUAACAGCGUAAUUUUUUUUGAGAGCUCUAAUCGAAAAAAAAGUUUGCGACCUCGAUGUUGGAUUAAAAUUAAUUUUUGGUGAAGAAGUUAAAAUUAUUUGGUCUGUUCGACCAUUAAAAUUUUACA